Non-coding RNA from Paralichthys olivaceus (Japanese flounder), 188 nucleotides. The record is from RefSeq and is a predicted model, not a curated record. Lineage: Eukaryota; Metazoa; Chordata; Actinopteri; Pleuronectiformes; Paralichthyidae.
CUCCUCCAGCGGUGAGUCAGCGCUACUACAAAACCAAGAACAAGUUGAGGGAUGAAGUGGUGAAGAGGAAGUGAACUGUUGACUGCAGAUGAAACAUCACACGUCCAACGCAGCACUAAGUGUACCACCAUGGGCCCCGCAUCUGGAGGAUUGCAGGCUUUCACCCGUCUCAGGAAGGCCAGGAAUGG